CCUACGGGGGGCAGCAGUGGGGAAUAUUGCACAAUGGGGGAAACCCUGAUGCAGCGACGCCGCGUGAGUGAAGAAGUAUCUCGGUACGUAAAGCUCUAUCAGCAGGGAAGAAAAUGACGGUACCUGACUAAUACUCCCCGGCUAACUCCGUACCAGCAGCCGCGGUAAUACGGAGGGGGCAAGCGUUAUCCGGAUUUACUGGGUGUAAAGGGAGCGUAGACGGCAGCACAAGUCUGGAGUGAAAUCCCGGGGCUUAACCCCGGAACUGCUUUGGAAACUGUGCGGCUGGAGUGCAGGAGGGGUAAGCGGAAUUCCUAGUGUAGCGGUGAAAUGCGUAGAUAUUAGGAGGAACACCGGUGGCGAAGGCGGCUUACUGGAAUGUAACUGACGUUGAGGCUCGAAAGCGUGGGGAGCAAACAGGAUUAGAUACCCCUGUAGUC
Molecule: ribosomal RNA, 440 nt
Filed under: uncultured bacterium
Lineage: Bacteria
Description: partial 16S ribosomal RNA
Rfam family: Bacterial small subunit ribosomal RNA
Source: RNAcentral